GAUGAACGCUGGCGGCGUGCCUAAUACAUGCAAGUCGAGCGAACGGACGAGAAGCUUGCUUCUCUGAUGUUAGCGGCGGACGGGUGAGUAACACGUGGAUAACCUACCUAUAAGACUGGGAUAACUUCGGGAAACCGGAGCUAAUACCGGAUGAUAUUUUGAACCGCAUGGUUCAAAAGUGAAAGACGGUCUUGCUGUCACUUAUAGAUGGAUCCGCGCUGCAUUAGCUAGUUGGUAAGGUAACGGCUUACCAAGGCAACGAUGCAUAGCCGACCUGAGGGGGGGGUGCGCCCAUGGGAAAAGGAACGGCGGUCAAGGCACUGAGGGGAGGCCCAGGUGGGAAAUUUUCGGAAAAGGGGGAAACCUUGCAGGAGGAACGGCGGGGGGGUGAAGAAGGUCUGCGGGCGGGAAAACGCUUUUAUGGGGGAAAACCACUUUUGAAUGUAACUGGGCGAGUUUUAAGGUAACCUAUAAAGAAACCCCGGCUAACCACGGG
Molecule: ribosomal RNA, 496 nt
Filed under: uncultured bacterium
Lineage: Bacteria
Description: partial 16S ribosomal RNA
Rfam family: Bacterial small subunit ribosomal RNA
Source: RNAcentral